Molecule: ribosomal RNA, 253 nt
Filed under: uncultured bacterium
Lineage: Bacteria
Description: partial 16S ribosomal RNA
Rfam family: Bacterial small subunit ribosomal RNA
Source: RNAcentral
UACAGAGGGGGCAAGCGUUGUUCGGAAUUACUGGGCGUAAAGGGCGCGUAGGCGGCCUGUUAAGUCGAACGUGAAAUCCCCGGGCUCAACCCGGGAACUGCGUCCGAUACUGGCAGGCUUGAAUCCGGGAGAGGGAUGUGGAAUUCCAGGUGUAGCGGUGAAAUGCGUAGAUAUACGGAGGAACACCUGCGGCGAAGGCGGGUAGCUGGGCCAACACUGACGCUGAAACGCGAAAGCUAGGGGAGCAAACGGG